This 188-nucleotide ribosomal RNA is filed under the name uncultured rumen bacterium. Its description in RNAcentral is "partial 16S ribosomal RNA". It matches the Rfam family "Bacterial small subunit ribosomal RNA", at positions 338 to 523 of the family's 1533-position model. The record is from RNAcentral.
CCUACGGGAGGCAGCAGUGAGGAACAUUGGUCAAUGGGCGUGAGCCUGAACCAGCCAAGUAGCGUGCAGGAUGACGGCCCUAUGGGUUGUAAACUGCUUUUGUCGGGGAACAAAGUGUGGCUCGUGAGCCGUUUUGCGUGUACCCGAUGAAUAAGGACCGGCUAAUUCCGUGCCAGCAGCCGCGGUAA